This 253-nucleotide ribosomal RNA is filed under the name uncultured bacterium. Its description in RNAcentral is "partial 16S ribosomal RNA". It matches the Rfam family "Bacterial small subunit ribosomal RNA", at positions 524 to 776 of the family's 1533-position model. The record is from RNAcentral.
UACGGAGGGUGCAAGCGUUGUUCGGAAUCAUUGGGCGUAAAGCGCGUGUAGGCGGCUUGGCAAGUCGUUUGUGAAAGCCCGGGGCCCAACCCCGGAAUUGCAUCUGAAACUGCCUGGCUAGAGUCCCGGAGAGGAAGGCAGAAUUCCCGGUGUAGGGGUGAAAUCCGUAGAUAUCAGGAGGAAUACCAGCGGCGAAGGCGGCCUUCUGGACGGUGACUGACGCUGAGACGCGAAAGCGUGGGGAGCAAACAGG